This 603-nucleotide long non-coding RNA is filed under the name Pongo abelii (Sumatran orangutan). RNAcentral's name for it is "lincRNA". Lineage: Eukaryota; Metazoa; Chordata; Mammalia; Primates; Hominidae. The record is from RNAcentral.
ACAAUUAGACUCCACCAAUGUCAGACUGCUGAAAUGUAAAAAAUGGCCAUCAGGAUUUUCUAGGGCAGCAUAAUUAUUCUGGGAAUAGGUAAAGGAGUUUUGAUUGAGAUGAAGAGGUCAAAGAAGUGAGAAGCACUGAAAGACACAGAAGUUUGUUCCUUCCAGUGGGUUCGUGGUCUCACUGACUUCAAGAAUGAAGCCGCGGACCCUCAUGCAAGGACCAGACCCAGGGGCAAAAUCUCACAGCUGCAGUAUCAUUUAAGACUCAGAGAGAGCCUAUCUUUCUGGGCAAAGGGGCUGAAAAGAAGGACCCUGUGAUCCAAAGAAUUGGGGGUAUGGAAUCCACCUGGAAUUUCCUUGUGUUUAUGGUUCAAGCAGUUCUUGAGUAUUAUACCACUUGACAAUUGAGGCAGAAUCAAAGAAAGUACUAAUGCUCUUCAGUAAAAUAUACAAAACUACAGACAAUGGCAGUGCCUUAUUUUGUAAAGUAUAUAGCUAUGAGCCUUUGCUACUCCUUGCUGACAUUUGGAAUUUAACUGAAGUGUCUUGUUAAAAAACAUUUAUGGAAAUAAAAAGAAUAUCUUUCCUUUUUAGGGAUAUAAA